GGGUUGUUAGCUCAGUCGGUAGAGCAGCGGACUUUUAAUCCGUUUGUCGAGCGUUCGAAUCGCUCACGACCCACCA
This 76-nucleotide transfer RNA is filed under the name Gilliamella apicola. RNAcentral's name for it is "tRNA-Lys (TTT) (tRNA-Lys-TTT-1-1, tRNA-Lys-TTT-1-2)". It matches the Rfam family "tRNA". Rfam says of the family: Transfer RNA (tRNA) molecules are approximately 80 nucleotides in length. Their secondary structure includes four short double-helical elements and three loops (D, anti-codon, and T loops). The record is from RNAcentral. Lineage: Bacteria; Pseudomonadati; Pseudomonadota; Gammaproteobacteria; Orbales; Orbaceae. RNAcentral also lists the same sequence under 116 other names.